UUUCCGUAGGUGAACCUGCGGAAGGAUCAUUACAAAUCGGAGGUUGAUGGGGGUGAUAGAUUAUCGUCAUUCAUCAAACCACCACAUUUGCACAGAGCUCUGCUCUGAUGUACACGCUUGUUUGUUUGACAAAAUAAAAUAUUCUUUAAUGUUGACAACUUUUAACAAUGGAUCUCUUGGCUCUU
This 185-nucleotide unclassified non-coding RNA is filed under the name soil metagenome. RNAcentral's name for it is "partial contains small subunit ribosomal RNA, internal transcribed spacer 1, and 5.8S ribosomal RNA". The record is from RNAcentral.